RNAcentral lists this ribosomal RNA (497 nucleotides) under uncultured bacterium. Its description in RNAcentral is "partial 16S ribosomal RNA". It matches the Rfam family "Bacterial small subunit ribosomal RNA", at positions 28 to 507 of the family's 1533-position model. The record is from RNAcentral.
GGUGAACGCUGGCGGCGUGCCUAAUACAUGCGAGUCGAGCGAACAGACGAGGAGCUUGCUCCUCUGACGUUAGCGGCGGACGGGUGAGUAACACGUGGAUAACCUACCUAUAAGACUGGGAUAACUUCGGGAAACCGGAGCUAAUACCGGAUAAUAUAUUGAACCGCAUGGUUCAAUAGUGAAAGACGGUUUUGCUGUCACUUAUAGAUGGAUCCGCGCCGCAUUAGCUAGUUGGUAAGGUAACGGCUUACCAAGGCAACGAUGCGUAGCCGACCUGAGAGGGUGAUCGGCCACACUGGAACUGAGACACGGUCCAGACUCCUACGGGAGGCAGCAGUAGGGAAUCUUCCGCAAUGGGCGAAAGCCUGACGGAGCAACGCCGCGUGAGUGAUGAAGGUCUUCGGAUCGUAAAACUCUGUUAUUAGGGAAGAACAAAUGUGUAAGUAACUAUGCACGUCUUGACGGUACCUAAUCAGAAAGCCACGGCUAACUACGUG